This 1476-nucleotide long non-coding RNA is filed under the name Salmo salar (Atlantic salmon). RNAcentral's name for it is "lncRNA (ENSSSAG00000122099.1)". The record is from RNAcentral. Lineage: Eukaryota; Metazoa; Chordata; Actinopteri; Salmoniformes; Salmonidae.
CAGGAGUUGGCGGAUGCUUUAGUCCAGGUCUGGGAGGAGAUCCCUCAGGAGACCAUCCGCCACCUCAUCAGGAGCAUGCCCAGGUGUUGUAGAGGUCAUACAGGCACGUGGAGGCCACACACACUACUGAGCCUCAUUUUGACUUGUUUUAAGGACAUUACAUCAAAGUUGGAUCAGCCUGUAGUGUGGUUUUCCACUUUAAUUUUGAGUGUGACUCCAAAUCCAGACCUCCAUGGGUUGAUAAAUUGGAUUUCCAUUGAUUAUUUUUGUGUGGUUUUGUUGUCAGCACAUUCAACUAUGUAAAGAAAAAAGUAUUUUAAUAAGAUUAUUUCAUUCAUUCAGAUCUAUGAUGUUAUUUUAGUGUUCCCUUUAUUUUUUUGAGCAGUGUAACUAGCUGCCGAAUAGGCAUCAACUCACCACGUAGCUUAUUCUUAAUGUUUGGCCAUAGGCUACCAGAGUGAGGACAGACAUUUUUCGGAAUAAACGUGACCGUGGCAAUGCGUCUGAGGACACCGUUGAAAUUGAGCGUGCUCCCGUUUCUGAUGUUAACGGCUCAGGUACAUCUGGAAAACUAGCUGAGGGGGUGACGUUAGAGGAAGAGUGGAUGGACAUCUUUGAAGACCUCAAAAAGAGGAUGAGGGAGGAUCCUGUGAGUUUCAGGCCUGCAGUAGCAUCCUUCGUUUCCAGCUUAAAGAAGAUGAAAACAGACAGUGAACUCAUAGCCGCACUACCAAACUUUGGCAUAACCAACCCUGGACCAACAGCAAAGUUUUACCGGGGACGGGCACGCCCCACAGAGAGCUCCGUAGGAGAGCAUGGACAUGGCACAUGCAGCUGGAAGAGGAAGGCACCCCAUUGAAUGUCUCAGUGUGUGGAAUAACACAUGGACAUUGGGAGUACUACACACAAAAAAGCAAGUCAACAUCAGUGGCCCCCUGUGCCCAUCAUCCACCUGCUCACCAUCUGUGACCUCCAGUGCACUAGCGCUCUGCCUACCGGCUCUAGGUCUCCUCCGCCUUGAACAAAACCAGGGACUAUUUCAAUGCAUUGUGGCCUCUCCAACACCAGAACCAGUGGCUAUUUCAAUAUUGCAUUCUUGCCUUUUUGUUUUACGUUAAUUCAAUGGAAGACGUUUCUGCAAUUUCAUAUCUUUUUAAAAUUGAUUCCAUGUUGAAGGACCAUCAGAUUUUAAAAAGCUGUUCUGCUAACCCAGUUGCAGGCCUAUACUAUCACUGAACCAAAGCAGUAGUUGUCUUGACUUAUAUCUCAAAUUGUAUUGGUCACAUACACAUGGUUAGCAGAUGUUAAUGCGAGUGUAGUGAAAUGCUUGUGCAUAUACUGGUAUAUGUUGUGCAUCAAGUUGUGUCCUUUUUAUGUUGAACAAAUGCAAGACUACAAUUUUAAUGAUGGGUUGUAAGACACAUAAUUAAGUGUUUAUUUGUACAUUAAAAAAAAAUAUCCAGAGGGGAACCUGCA